ACAACGCUCUUCCGAGCUUGUCCUUAAACUCAGUCCUUCAAUAUCAUCAGCUUGUAUGAGCCAGAUUGCUUGCAAACUGUUCUCUAUCCUACUUCUAAUUAAAGCGAGCUUUGAAAUGUGAACCACGACCCCUAGGCAAAUGAUAUUAACAGGUUAUUCCCAACUCUCACAAAGAAUGAGCUUUGCAAACUAAUUUGUGCAGCAAUUAAAUUCAGACCAAGAUAUAAUUUUAUUUUAUUGCUCAGUACUUGCCUGCAUUUUUUUAAAGCCAGUAAUUGCAGGAAGGAGUUAAUUUGAUAAUAUAAAUAAAAAUUGCCCCCAAGGGGCAAUAACCAAUCCAUUUACAUGCAAAAAUGCUCCCCCUCCAAGUCAUCCCAAGGCAAAUAUGAAACAUGAUUUCCAAAAGGCAUUGCCUAUAAUUCUCUUAAUACAGUGACAAGCAUGAGAAUUGUGAAGCAAAUAUUUCAAAUAACCACAUAUGUUCAACCAUAAAUAACUUAUAUUUGGGGGAAUAUAUUGUGUGUUAGACAUCUCAGUUGCUCUGUACAUACACGGAAAAAAUCUACUCCACCAAAAAAAGUUUAGAUUUUAGGUAAGGAAUUGGGCCUCAAUUCAUUCAACUAAUGUUUAGGAAGUACCUCCAAUGUGCUCACAUGUUGCCUCAUAUUUCUUUCAAAUCUUAAGAACCCAAGAAUACAGCCUUGAUAUCAUAAAAGUAAUAAAACGCCAUUUAUUAAGUUUUCUCUUCAUGUGUUCACCGUAUUUCACAUCUUUUCUGAGUCAAUUCUGUUCUGCCCACCUCGUAAGCUUCUAUUCGUAUGUUAAAACCCUCCUAAGCAGAGUCCUUCAUCUAUAUAAUCCCUCCUCUGAAUUACUUCCACACAGUGUAUAGGCUUUUGCUAUUGCACAUGUCACGUUACUUUGUAAUUAUCUCUUUCCAGGGCUAUCCCAACACAGUGAACUCCUUAGAGCCAGAUUUAUUAACACAACACUAGGAAUACCAUCUCUCGAUAUCUCUGAUACCUUAGCCAAGAAUAUAAAAUCUUUUUGCAAACCUUUACACCUAGGGAAGUUACCAAAAUCCUUCUCAGUAUCUCUGUCUAUCCAACAUCAUGGAUAAAGUUAUGAGACGAGGGUAUCUUUGAAAGCAUCUCAGUGACUCAUCUCAUGUUUUGUCCUAUUUCUUCCUCCUCCCACUCCUGCAAUCCCCAGCCUGAGACAGCAGAGGGUGUGCUGGAAAGCAGUCUUGAAACCUCCCCUUCAGAAAUCCAUUUUACAGCAACCCAGGUGCUGAGCCCCGCUCUGCCUGGGAACUGGUUCACUUUUUUCAAGGAUGCCACAUCUGCUCAGAACUUUUUUUCCAGUUAGUGAGUCUUCCUCAAAUAGAGCCUCUGAGGGUUUUGAUCUUAGAACCAAUCAACUUCAGGCUGAAGAUGCAGGGCACUGGCUGAGCUAGCACAGCUGGCUCAAACCCAUGCUUUAUUUGAAGGAAGGAUAAACAAACACCCAAGUUUACAGUGUUGGGUGUUGAGGUCAAAGAAUUCUCUCUGGACCAGGACUAUUUAUCAGACCACAACUGGAACUUGGUGACUGUUCUGUACCCUCAUUAAAGCCGUGUUUUUAAAAAUGACUAGAAGAACAUACAUGUCCAUACAGAAAUCUGUUGCAUUUCUUUACACUAACGAUGAAAU
Non-coding RNA from Vicugna pacos (alpaca), 1691 nucleotides. The record is from RefSeq and is a predicted model, not a curated record. Lineage: Eukaryota; Metazoa; Chordata; Mammalia; Artiodactyla; Camelidae.